RNAcentral lists this ribosomal RNA (428 nucleotides) under uncultured archaeon. RNAcentral's name for it is "bacterial SSU rRNA". It matches the Rfam family "Archaeal small subunit ribosomal RNA", at positions 474 to 903 of the family's 1478-position model. The record is from RNAcentral.
UACCAGCUCUCCGAGUGGUGUGGAUGUUUAUUGGGCCUAAAGCAUCCGUAGCUGGCUGGACAAGUCCCCUGUUAAAUCCACCGAUUUAAUCGUUGGUGUGCGGGGGAUACUGUUCGGCUAGGGGACGGGAGAGGCCGACGGUAUUUCCGGGGUAGGGGUGAAAUCCUAUAAUCCCGGGAAGACCACCAGUGGCGAAGGCUGUCGGCUAGAACGCGCCCGACGGUGAGGGAUGAAAGCUGGGGGAGCGAACCGGAUUAGAUACCCGGGUAGUCCCAGCUGUAAACGAUGCAGGCUAGGUGUUUGGGCGGCCACGUGCCGCUCUAGUGCCGCAAGGAAGCUGUUAAGCCUGCCGCCUGGGGAGUACGGCCGCAAGGCUGAAACUUAAAGGAAUUGGCGGGGAGCGCCACAAGGGGUGAAGCUUGCGGUUU